RNAcentral lists this ribosomal RNA (255 nucleotides) under uncultured bacterium. RNAcentral's name for it is "partial 16S ribosomal RNA". It matches the Rfam family "Bacterial small subunit ribosomal RNA", at positions 524 to 776 of the family's 1533-position model. The record is from RNAcentral.
UACGGGGGGGGCAAGCGUUGUUCGGAAUUACUGGGCGUAAAGGGCGCGUAGGCGGUCAGACCAAGUCGAGUGUGAAAUUCCAGGGCUUAACUCUGGCACGCUCGCUCGAUACUGGUCGGCUAGAGUGUGGAAGAGGAUGCUGGAAUUCCUGGUGUAGCGGUGAAAUGCGCAGAUAUCAGGAGGAACACCAGCGGCGAAGGCGGUGCUCUGGGCCGGAACUGACGCUGAGGAGCGAAAGCGUGGGGAGCGAACAGG